CGGGACGGGUGAGUAAUGUCUAGGGAAACUGCCGAUGGAGGGGGAUAACUACUGGAAACGGUAGCUAAUACCGCAUAACGUCGCAAGACCAAAGAGGGGGACCUUAGGGCCUCCUGCCAUCGGAUGUGCCCAGAUGGGAUUAGCUAGUAGGUGGGGUAAAGGCUCACCUAGGCGACGAUCCCUAGCUGGUCUGAGAGGAUGACCAGCCACACUGGAACUGAGACACGGUCCAG
RNAcentral lists this ribosomal RNA (233 nucleotides) under uncultured bacterium. RNAcentral's name for it is "partial 16S ribosomal RNA". It matches the Rfam family "Bacterial small subunit ribosomal RNA", at positions 100 to 334 of the family's 1533-position model. The record is from RNAcentral.